RNAcentral lists this ribosomal RNA (437 nucleotides) under uncultured bacterium. Its description in RNAcentral is "partial 16S ribosomal RNA". It matches the Rfam family "Bacterial small subunit ribosomal RNA", at positions 29 to 507 of the family's 1533-position model. The record is from RNAcentral.
AGCGAACGCUGGCGGCAGGCUUAACACAUGCAAGCCGAGCGGGCACCUUUCGGGGUGUCAGCGGCGGACGGGUGAGUAACGCGUGGGAACGUGCCCUCUGGUUCGGAAUAACUCAGGGAAACUUGAGCUAAUACCGGAUACGCCCUUUUGGGGAAAGGCUUGCUGCCGGAGGAUCGGCCCGCGUCUGAUUAGCUAGUUGGUGAGGUAACGGCUCACCAAGGCGACGAUCAGUAGCUGGUCUGAGAGGAUGAUCAGCCACACUGGGACUGAGACACGGCCCAGACUCCUACGGGAGGCAGCAGUGGGGAAUAUUGGACAAUGGGCGCAAGCCUGAUCCAGCCAUGCCGCGUGAGUGAUGAAGGCCUUAGGGUUGUAAAGCUCUUUUAUCCGGGACGAUAAUGACGGUACCGGAGGAAUAAGCCCCGGCUAACUUCGUG